Molecule: ribosomal RNA, 263 nt
Filed under: uncultured bacterium
Lineage: Bacteria
Description: partial 16S ribosomal RNA
Rfam family: Bacterial small subunit ribosomal RNA
Source: RNAcentral
GUCCACGCCCUAAACGGUGCACACUAGGUCUUGGCGGAUUCGACCCCACCAGGGCCCAAGCUAACGCGUUAAGUGUGCCGCCUGAGGACUACGGUCGCAAGACUAAAACUCAAAGGAAUUGACGGGGGCCCGCACAAGCGGUGGAGCAUGUGGCUUAAUUCGAUGCAACGCGAAGAACCUUACCAGGCCUUGACAUGCACUUUACUGACAUUGAAAGGUGUCUUUCCUUCGGGACAAGUGCACAGGUGCUGCAUGGCUGUCGU